RNAcentral lists this ribosomal RNA (274 nucleotides) under uncultured bacterium. Its description in RNAcentral is "partial 16S ribosomal RNA". It matches the Rfam family "Bacterial small subunit ribosomal RNA", at positions 523 to 796 of the family's 1533-position model. The record is from RNAcentral.
AUACGGAGGGUGCAAGCGUUAUCCGGAUUCAUUGGGUUUAAAGGGUACGUAGGCGGAUAGAUAAGUUGGUGGUGAAAUCCCGAAGCUCAACUUCGGAACUGCCAUUAAAACUGUCUAUCUUGAAUUUGGUUGAAGUGGGCGGAAUAUGACAUGUAGCGGUGAAAUGCAUAGAUAUGUCAUGGAACACCGAUAGUGAAGACAGCUCACUAAGCCAAUAUUGACGCUGAGGUACGAAAGCAUGGGUAGCGAACAGGAUUAGAAACCCCAGUAGUCC